UAAGUCCCGCAACGAGCGCAACCCUUAUCCUUGUUUGCCAGCGAGUAAUGUCGGGAACUCCAGGGAGACUGCCGGUGAUAAACCGGAGGAAGGUGGGGACGACGUCAAGUCAUCAUGGCCCUUACGAGUAGGGCUACACACGUGCUACAAUGGCGCAUACAGAGGGCGGCCAACUUGCGARAGUGAGCGAAUCCCAAAAAGUGCGUCGUAGUCCGGAUUGGAGUCUGCAACUCGACUCCAUGAAGUCGGAAUCGCUAGUAAUCGUGGAUCAGAAUGCCACGGUGAAUACGUUCCCGGGCCUUGUACACACCGCCCGUCACACCAUGGGAGUGGGCUGCAAAAGAAGUAGGUAGUUUAACCU
This 361-nucleotide ribosomal RNA is filed under the name Vibrio sp. RNAcentral's name for it is "bacterial SSU rRNA". It matches the Rfam family "Bacterial small subunit ribosomal RNA", at positions 1081 to 1441 of the family's 1533-position model. The record is from RNAcentral. Lineage: Bacteria; Pseudomonadati; Pseudomonadota; Gammaproteobacteria; Vibrionales; Vibrionaceae.